RNAcentral lists this ribosomal RNA (428 nucleotides) under uncultured bacterium. RNAcentral's name for it is "bacterial SSU rRNA". It matches the Rfam family "Bacterial small subunit ribosomal RNA", at positions 354 to 796 of the family's 1533-position model. The record is from RNAcentral.
GUGGGGAAUUUUGCGCAAUGGGGGAAACCCUGACGCAGCAACGCCGCGUGGAGGAUGAAGGUCUUCGGAUUGUAAACUCCUGUCCUCGGGGAAAAAGAAAGUGAUGGUACCCGGGGAGGAAGCCCCGGCUAACUCCGUGCCAGCAGCCGCGGUAAUACGGGGGGGGCGAGCGUUGUUCGGAAUUACUGGGCGUAAAGGGCGCGUAGGCGGCCUGGGAAGUCUUGGGUGAAAGCCCCCGGCUCAACCGGGGAAGGGCCUGAGAAACCACUGGGCUGGAGUGCUGGAGAGGGAAGCGGAAUUCCUGGUGUAGCGGUGAAAUGCGUAGAGAUCAGGAGGAACAUCUGUGGCGAAGGCGGCUUCCUGGACAGACACUGACGCUGAGGCGCGAAAGCUAGGGGAGCAAACAGGAUUAGAAACCCUUGUAGUCC